GAGAAAGGAAGCUGAGUCGGACAUUUUUUCUGGGGGCAGAUUGAUUAAGGCAGCUUCUUAUUCCCUGAAGUUCCCCUUUACAUAUAUUCCCCUGCUGUAAUGUCCAUUUAUGGGGUACCUGUGCCCCUUACAGUUUGGAUCUUGUAGUCGCAGCCGCCUUGUCCUCAGGGGACCAUGGGUGACAGAAGAAGACAAUGGUUUCAAGCACCAUCCACUUUUUUUUGGUUCUGCCUGCUCUUAUAAUUCGGUCACCAUGACAGAGGGUCCUCCAUAAAAUUUUAUAUACAGUAUGUUCAGAACACUGGGAUUAGGCGGCCGGAGAAGUGACUUCACACCAUACCCCCUCCAUUCAUGUCUAUGAGACGACUCCUCGAAGACGGACUGAAGUUCUGCCCACAGGGACAACCACACGCUCUCACCGCACACUCACACAAAUAAAUAUUACUUCACUUUUU
This is a long non-coding RNA of Hyla sarda, 455 nucleotides long. RefSeq lists it as uncharacterized. NCBI's taxonomy places the organism in Eukaryota, Metazoa, Chordata, Amphibia, Anura, Hylidae. The transcript has 3 exons. The record is from RefSeq and is a predicted model, not a curated record.